AGAGUUUGAUCCUGGCUCAGGAUGAACGCUUAGCGGCGUGCUUAAUACAUGCAAGUCGAACGGAGACAGUAGCAAUAUUGUCUUAGUGGCGAACGGGUGAGUAACGCGUUGGUGACCUGCCCCGAAGAGGGGGAUAACAGUCCGAAAGGAUUGCUAAUACCCCAUGUGGUCAUAUGGAUUAGAUGCCUAAUGACUAAACGGAUUUAUUCGCUUCGGGAGGGGCCUGCGUCCCAUCAGCUAGUUGGUAAGGUAAUGGCUUACCAAGGCUAUGACGGGUAGGGGACCUGAGAGGGUGGCCCCCCACAAUGGAACUGAAACACGGUCCAUACACCUACGGGUGGCAGCAGUAGGGAAUAUUGGUAAUCUGGGAAACCGGGAACCAGCAACGCCGCGUGCACGAUGAAGGCCUUCGGGUCGUAAAGUGCUUUUUGAAGGGAUGAGGAAGGACAGUACCUUCAGAAUAAGCCUCGGCUAACUACGUGCCAGCAGCCGCGGUAAAACGUAGGAGGCGAGCGUUAUCCGGAUUUACUGGGCGUAAAGCGUGUGUAGGCGGUUUGAUAAGUUGGAUGUGAAAGCUCCCGGCUCAACUGGGAGAGGUCGUUCAAAACUAUCAGACUAGAGAGUGGUAGAGGGAGGUGGAAUUCCGCGUGUAGUGGUGAAAUGCGUAGAUAUGCGGAGGAACACCAGUGGCGAAAGCGGCCUCCUGGCCCAUUUCUGACGCUCAGACACGAAAGCUAAGGUAGCAAACGGGAUUAGAGACCCCGGUAGUCUUAGCUGUAAACGAUGUGAACUUAGUGUCGGUGGGGUUAAAUCCAUCGGUACUGAAGCUAACGCGAUAAGUUCACCGCCUGAGGACUACGGCCGCAAGGUUAAAACUCAAAGGAAUUG
RNAcentral lists this ribosomal RNA (888 nucleotides) under uncultured bacterium. Its description in RNAcentral is "bacterial SSU rRNA". It matches the Rfam family "Bacterial small subunit ribosomal RNA", at positions 8 to 912 of the family's 1533-position model. The record is from RNAcentral.